This 580-nucleotide ribosomal RNA is filed under the name uncultured bacterium. Its description in RNAcentral is "bacterial SSU rRNA". It matches the Rfam family "Bacterial small subunit ribosomal RNA", at positions 102 to 666 of the family's 1533-position model. The record is from RNAcentral.
ACGGGUGAGUAACACGUGGGCAACCUACCUUAUCGACUGGGAUAACUCCGGGAAACCGGGGCUAAUACCGGAUAACAUCUAGCACCUCCUGGUGCCGGAUUAAAAGAGGGCUUCUUGCUCUCACGAUGAGAUGGGCCCGCGGCGCAUUAGCUAGUUGGAGAGGUAACGGCUCCCCAAGGCGACGAUGCGUAGCCGACCUGAGAGGGUGAUCGGCCACACUGGGACUGAGACACGGCCCAGACUCCUACGGGAGGCAGCAGUAGGGAAUCUUCCGCAAUGGACGAAAGUCUGACGGAGCAACGCCGCGUGAGUGAUGAAGGGUUUCGGCUCGUAAAGCUCUGUUAUGAGGGAAGAACACGUACCGUUCGAAUAGGGCGGUACCUUGACGGUACCUCAUCAGAAAGCCACGGCUAACUACGUGCCAGCAGCCGCGGUAAUACGUAGGUGGCAAGCGUUGUCCGGAAUUAUUGGGCGUAAAGCGCGCGCAGGCGGCCUUUUAAGUCUGAUGUGAAAUCUUGCGGCUCAACCGCAAGCGGCCAUUGGAAACUGGGAGGCUUGAGUACAGAAGAGGAGAGUGGAA